This 470-nucleotide ribosomal RNA is filed under the name Actinomyces sp. oral taxon 175. RNAcentral describes it as "bacterial SSU rRNA". It matches the Rfam family "Bacterial small subunit ribosomal RNA", at positions 28 to 483 of the family's 1533-position model. Lineage: Bacteria; Bacillati; Actinomycetota; Actinomycetes; Actinomycetales; Actinomycetaceae. The record is from RNAcentral.
GACGAACGCUGGCGGCGUGCUUAACACAUGCAAGUCGAACGGUGAAGGGACCGGUUUUUGCUGGUUCUGGAUGAGUGGCGAACGGGUGAGUAACACGUGAGUAACCUGCCCCCUUCUUCUGGAUAACCGCAUGAAAGUGUGGCUAAUACGGGAUAUUCUGCGCCUGCUGCAUGGUGGGUGUGGGAAAGAUAUUGUUUCGGUGGGGGAUGGGCUCGCGGCCUAUCAGCUUGUUGGUGGGGUGAUGGCCUACCAAGGCGGUGACGGGUAGCCGGCCUGAGAGGGUGGACGGUCACACUGGGACUGAGACACGGCCCAGACUCCUACGGGAGGCAGCAGUGGGGAAUAUUGCACAAUGGGCGCAAGCCUGAUGCAGCGACGCCGCGUGAGGGAUGGAGGCCUUCGGGUUGUAAACCUCUUUCGCCAGUGAAGCAGGCCUGUUCCCUUUUGUGGGUGGGUUGACGGUAGCUGGA